GGGAGAGCUCAAAAUUAUUAAAAUGCCAGUGAAAGGGCAGCACCAGUCCCGCUGUGUCACCACAUUUCCUUCUCAACCUGGACUUGGGACAGAGACCAGUCCUGCAGACACCUCGGCAAGGAGGAGCCCUUGAUGAGGACGACGACGAGCCGCUUUUGGACAUACAGGAAAACUCUGUGCAACUCCCAUGUACACACUGCACAAAGGAAACAGCUUUAAGCAACCACCGGUGAAACGUGGAAGCCUUUUAAGAUCUCUGGAGCUGGCACAGGAAUG
Falco peregrinus (peregrine falcon) is the source of this 276-nucleotide long non-coding RNA. RefSeq lists it as uncharacterized. Lineage: Eukaryota; Metazoa; Chordata; Aves; Falconiformes; Falconidae. The transcript is spliced from 3 exons. The record is from RefSeq and is a predicted model, not a curated record.